CAUGUCUCAUUGUCCAUUGCUU
Molecule: microRNA, 22 nt
Filed under: Alligator mississippiensis (American alligator)
Lineage: Eukaryota; Metazoa; Chordata; Crocodylia; Alligatoridae
Description: ami-miR-9601-3p
Source: miRBase by way of RNAcentral